UGAGACGCUGUGAAGUCAGGUGGAUGC
Molecule: non-coding RNA, 27 nt
Filed under: Rattus norvegicus (Norway rat)
Lineage: Eukaryota; Metazoa; Chordata; Mammalia; Rodentia; Muridae
Source: RNAcentral